AACCAUAGAAACCUGCGGAGUACCUGCGGAAGGAUCAUUACAGAGUUGCAAAACUCCCUAAACCAUUGUGAACGUCACCUAAACCGUUGCUUCGGCGGGCGGCCCGGGUCCUUCCCGGCGCCCAUCGGCCCUCGCGGGCGCCCGCCGGAGGUAAACCAAACUAUUGCAUUGUAUGGCCUCUCUGAGUCUUCUGUACUGAAUAAGUCAAAACUUUCAACAACGGAUCUCAGAUCGGAAGAG
RNAcentral lists this unclassified non-coding RNA (240 nucleotides) under soil metagenome. RNAcentral describes it as "partial contains 5.8S ribosomal RNA, internal transcribed spacer 2, and large subunit ribosomal RNA". The record is from RNAcentral.